GCCCUUAGAGUUUGAUCCUGGCUCAGGAUGAACGCUAGCUACAGGCUUAACACAUGCAAGUCGAGGGGAAACGAUAGAGAAAGCUUGCUUUUUCUAGGCGUCGACCGGCGCACGGGUGAGUAACGCGUAUCCAACCUGCCCACCACUUGGGGAUAACCUUGCGAAAGUAAGACUAAUACCCAAUGAUAUCUCUAGAAGACAUCUGAAAGAGAUUAAAGAUUUAUCGGUGAUGGAUGGGGAUGCGUCUGAUUAGCUUGUUGGCGGGGUAACGGCCCACCAAGGCGACGAUCAGUAGGGGUUCUGAGAGGAAGGUCCCCCACAUUGGAACUGAGACACGGUCCAAACUCCUACGGGAGGCAGCAGUGAGGAAUAUUGGUCAAUGGGCGAGAGCCUGAACCAGCCAAGUAGCGUGCAGGAUGACGGCCCUAUGGGUUGUAAACUGCUUUUAUAAGGGAAUAAAGUGAGAGUCGUGACUCUUUUUGCAUGUACCUUAUGAAUAAGGACCGGCUAAUUCCGUGCCAGCAGCCGCGGUAAUACGGAAGGUCCGGGCGUUAUCCGGAUUUAUUGGGUUUAAAGGGAGCGUAGGCCGGAGAUUAAGCGUGUUGUGAAAUGUAGAUGCUCAACGUCUGCACUGCAGCGCGAACUGGUUUCCUUGAGUACGCACAAAGUGGGCGGAAUUCGUGGUGUAGCGGUGAAAUGCUUAGAUAUCACGAAGAACUCCGAUUGCGAAGGCAGCUCACUGGAGCGCAACUGACGCUGAAGCUCGAAAGUGCGGGUAUCGAACAGGAUUAGAUACCCUGGUAGUCCGCACGGUAAACGAUGGAUGCCCGCUGUUGGUCUGAAUAGGUCAGCGGCCAAGCGAAAGCAUUAAGCAUCCCACCUGGGGAGUACGCCGGCAACGGUGAAACUCAAAGGAAUUGACGG
Molecule: ribosomal RNA, 924 nt
Filed under: uncultured bacterium
Lineage: Bacteria
Description: bacterial SSU rRNA
Rfam family: Bacterial small subunit ribosomal RNA
Source: RNAcentral